UACGAAUUGUGCAAGCGUUACUCUUAAUCACUGGGCGUAAAGCGUGCGUAGGCGGUUCGUUAAGUCUGCUGUGAAAGCCCUGGGCUCAACCUGGGAACUGCAGUGGAUACUGGCGGACUAGAGUGUGAUAGAGGAUGGUGGAAUUCCCGGUGUAGCGGUGAAAUGCGUAGAGAUCGGGAGGAACACCAGUGGCGAAGGCGGCCUGCUGGGCAGAUACUGACACUGAGGCGCGACAGCGUGGGGAGCAAACAGG
Molecule: ribosomal RNA, 253 nt
Filed under: uncultured bacterium
Lineage: Bacteria
Description: partial 16S ribosomal RNA
Rfam family: Bacterial small subunit ribosomal RNA
Source: RNAcentral